AGUGAACGCUGGCGGUAGGCCUAACACAUGCAAGUCGAACGGCAGCACAGUAAGAGCUUGCUCUUACGGGUGGCGAGUGGCGGACGGGUGAGAAAUACAUCGGAAUCUACUUUUUCGUGGGGGAUAACGUAGGGAAACUUACGCUAAUACCGCAUACGACCUACGGGUGAAAGCAGGGGAUCUUCGGACCUUGCGCGAUUGAAUGAGCCGAUGUCGGAUUAGCUAGUUGGCGGGGUAAAGGCCCACCAAGGCGACGAUCCGUAGCUGGUCUGAGAGGAUGAUCAGCCACACUGGAACUGAGACACGGUCCAGACUCCUACGGGAGGCAGCAGUGGGGAAUAUUGGACAAUGGGCGAAAGCCUGAUCCAGCCAUACCGCGUGGGUGAAGAAGGCCUUCGGGUUGUAAAGCCCUUUUGUUGGGAAAGAAAAGCAGCAGGUUAAUACCCCGCUGUUCUGACGGUACCCAAAGAAUAAGCACCGGCUAACUUCGUG
Molecule: ribosomal RNA, 492 nt
Filed under: uncultured bacterium
Lineage: Bacteria
Description: partial 16S ribosomal RNA
Rfam family: Bacterial small subunit ribosomal RNA
Source: RNAcentral